RNAcentral lists this long non-coding RNA (421 nucleotides) under Hordeum vulgare. RNAcentral's name for it is "long non-coding RNA (HVUL_LNC018017)". Lineage: Eukaryota; Viridiplantae; Streptophyta; Magnoliopsida; Poales; Poaceae. The record is from RNAcentral.
UGCAUGUGUGUGAGUUCAGGUGACGCGGAACGCGGGCGUGCCCGGGGUGGAGUGGAGAUGUGUGAUGCUACGAGCGCCACGAUGAUCUGUACCCGUGCACACCACGCAUGGGACUUUGGGUCCUCUGUACGGCUGCGCCCGUCGGUUCCGACGAGGACCCAUCGACCUGCCUUCGUUCUAUGCACACACACCUUCUUCUUUUGCGGGGAGUUGCACGAACGCCUUGCAAGUUGGUGAUUUGCUACUAGUAUCUGAGAAUGCUGGGUUUCCACAAAUGGGAUUAACUAACCCCAUCCCACUUACUACCUCCGUCACGCCUUGCAAGUUGGUGAUUUGCUAUUUUUUUUAUAAAGACCAUAUAUGUUAAUAUUGCGAAGAUAUCAACUACACACGACCUCUGCAACAACGCAAUGUCCUACUG